This 254-nucleotide ribosomal RNA is filed under the name uncultured bacterium. RNAcentral's name for it is "partial 16S ribosomal RNA". It matches the Rfam family "Bacterial small subunit ribosomal RNA", at positions 524 to 776 of the family's 1533-position model. The record is from RNAcentral.
GACGUAGGGGGCCAGCGUUGUUCGGAAUUACUGGGUGUAAAGGGUUCGUAGGCGGUGUGGCAAGUCGGGAGUGAAAUCUCUGGGCUCAACUCAGAGACUGCUUCCGAAACUGCUGUGCUGGAGUGUGGGAGAGGCGCGUGGAAUUGCAGGUGUAGCGGUGAAAUGCGUAGAUAUCUGCAGGAACACCCGUGGGCGAAAGCGGCGCGCUGGACCACUACUGACGCUGAGGAACGAAAGCUAGGGGAGCAAACAGG